Molecule: ribosomal RNA, 411 nt
Filed under: bacterium enrichment culture clone ALO1_GLFRUDD03G345W
Lineage: Bacteria
Description: bacterial SSU rRNA
Rfam family: Bacterial small subunit ribosomal RNA
Source: RNAcentral
GAGUUUGAUCGUGGCUCAGAUUGAACGCUGGCGGCAUGCCUUACACAUGCAAGUCGAACGGCAGCACGGGAGCUUGCUCCUGGUGGCGAGUGGCGAACGGGUGAGUAAUGCAUCGGAACGUAUCCUGGAGUGGGGGAUAACGUAGCGAAAGUUACGCUAAUACCGCAUAUUCUGUGAGCAGGAAAGCGGGGGACCUUCGGGCCUCGCGCUCUUGGAGCGGCCGAUGUCGGAUCAGCUAGUUGGUGAGGUAAAGGCUCACCAAGGCGACGAUCCGUAGCAGGUCUGAGAGGAUGAUCUGCCACACUGGAACUGAGACACGGUCCAGACUCCUACGGAGGCAACAGUGGGAAUUUUGGACAAGUGGGGCAACCCUGAUCCAGCCAUGCCGCGUGAGUGAAGAAGGCCUCGGUU